CUCCCCCGCCUGACGGCGCGGGGAGCAGGAGGGGUCCCUGGCGGGGGCUGCCCGGCGCUUGUGCCGCCUUCCCGGCUCCCCGAGCCGGACGCGGGCUGGGAGGAGCCGCGCGAGUCCUCGGGUGGGGGGGCGGGGGGCUGGUGUGUCCUAAAUUGGGUGGAAAGGCUGCUGCCUAGUCGUCGUCUUCUCGGUCUCUGCCUCCUGCGGGGGGAAGAAGGGGAAGGUCUGUUUCCAGCACCCGAUUCCCGUGGGAUUUGGGAUCCUCGGAAGCGCGUGCUCAUGGAUGAGAGCGUUAGCCUCCUCCAAAACGUUCUGACCGGGCUGUGAGAGGGAGAGGUGCCGAGCUGCGUGUAACGUGGCGCAGGGGAGACAAGUAUGUGCUCGGUUCUUCCGCAAAGGCAAAAGAGCAGCUGGCAGAGUCGCCUAUUUGGACGAGGAGCGUUUGAAGCGGGAUACCUUAGCGAUGUGCUCAGGCGUGCCUGGGAGGUAACCGCCCUGCUGUCCCCGGGCUGAGCCCCAGCCUCUUCAGCACCCUCCGACAGCUGCACGCCUACUCGGUGCUUGCUCUCUCCCUCUUCUCUGCGCUCGGCAUCGGGCUUCAACACGUCUCAGUGGUUGCUUCUAGGCCAUCAUCCGAGGACGCUGAGCACCACACGGACAACCUGUUUGCAGGCAGCGCUUUGAGCUCCUCUUUACGCGCUGCAUGCAAUUCACUUCCCUGAUGCGUAUUUUGCCUCGGUACUAAGUAAUCCUGGGUGCUAGUUAGUAAAUAAUGUAUACCCUUUCCUUCAGCUCAUGUUGUGUGUUGUUCACUUGGACCUCUGUUUAUACAAGUCUCUGUUUUUGAAGCAAACCAAAAUGCGUUUCAGUGAAACCAGCCCCUACGUACCAUCGCAAACUUUUAUUCUACAAAAGCAUUAAAAAGCUGAGAGUGUUAGAAGUUCAUUUAUACAUUUGGUUAUUCAAAAAGGCAAAGGAAAACCUUUAUAGACAGCAGCUCUAACAGCUACCUGCAUCACACAGCCACGUUGCAGUUUCAUCAGUCUAAUUAGGGGCAGUCUCCCUGGAUCAUUUGGUGUCUGCCAGGUUCUGAGGUGGCUGCUUAGGACUUGUCUUCUGCAGGCUUUUUAAGUUCCAGUUUUAUGUCAGCUGAACACAGGUUUUUCUUUUGCAGCUUUUGGCACUAGUGAAUACAGUCUUCUCCUCCCUCAGCUACCAGCCACGUGUGUCUCCUGCUAUUGUUUGAAUUAAUGAAUGAAGUUUUAAUUAUACCACAAGUGACCUUAGAAAUAGCAGAGGUUAAGCAAAACAGUCCUACUCUGUCCACUGCUCCUGAUGAGGAAAACUGCUCGAGAGACAUUGAUGGUGGCAGAAAUUCUCUAGUAAUUCCCAAAACAGUGUGCAAGGGCAUUGCAUGUCACAGUGUGAGUAAGUAGUCUCUCCAGCUCCUUCUUCAAAUAUCCCUUAGGACCUCUUGCUUCCUGUGGUGUUUGCUUUGGGUUUGCUCACUGCUACUUUGUUCUUUGUGUGUUCUUUUGGUUUCAAACUGUGGCUCAUCUUCAGAUUGUACUUCAUGAGCAAAGCUGCCCCUACACAGUGUAGUGGCAUCUUGAUUAGCUGGUGUACCUCAUAGCAAUAGCUUUGGUGGUAGCAAGAAGGGGCUUUUCUGUUUUGAUUACAACAGCUAGCAAAUUAAAGCUUA
Long non-coding RNA from Aquila chrysaetos chrysaetos, 1702 nucleotides. RefSeq lists it as uncharacterized. The transcript is spliced from 2 exons. The record is from RefSeq and is a predicted model, not a curated record. NCBI's taxonomy places the organism in Eukaryota, Metazoa, Chordata, Aves, Accipitriformes, Accipitridae.